CCACAAAUACAUUUCUCUUUUUUCUCUCAUCCCCUCGUUACAGUUACAGUCCCAGGGAGUUUAAGGAACCUUCCAGAACCUCCAACCCAAAUCCUCAAGAGCCACCAGACCCAGUGGAACAGCAGCCAGUGUAUGACAAUGUGAAUCCUGGAGAUAGCGACCUGGUUUAUUGCCAGAUCUGGAGCACCCAACAUACAAAAGAAAAUUCAGCAAAUUCACCAAAGAAACAUUGGGAAGAUAAGGUGAGUCACAUUUCCUGGCUUUCUUUCCCCUCUGCUCUUUCUUACUUAUAUUUUGGUAUUAACUGUUUGUGCUUUUCCCCUCCCCACUAGGAACCCACAGUCAUCUAUUCAGAUUUGAAGAAGGCACAUCCAGAUGACUCCACAGGGCAAGCCAACAUUGAAGAUAGUGACCUUGAAGAUGCUGCAGAAAACUAUGAGAAUGUUCCAGGCAUAUUAUCAGCCUUAGACCGCUAGCUCUGUACCCACAGUGGCUCACAGAGACCCUGUGAAGCAGCCUGUCACUGUCUCGGUUAUCUCUGGCCAUACUUUUCUUUCCCUCCAGUGCUCAGCAUCCCAAAAGACUGGACUGGGGGAUGUGAGACUGUGUGAAAGUUCUGUCAACUUCUUCUGUGCCCAAGUCUGUGUGUUCUCUAGGAACAUAGUGAGGAACAUUUGAGUAAAUUCUGCAAUCUUUUCACAGUGGGGAUACUUGUGAAGGCAAGGCAGGUAGGCCUUCAGCUCCUGGGCCUGUUAAAGAGAAGGGAAAAGCAGUCUAGCCAGGAUCACAAGGAUGCAAUCAUUGAAAGUUGAACUGAGAGGGAUCAAAAGCUUCUAGGGUACUGUCUGUACAUAAACAAUUUGUUUGUUCUAAACAUCUUGUUUCCCUUUCCAUUUUUGUUGAUAGUGUCACUGAUGAUGUUCUGGUGCACAUGCGUUGUUCCA
Molecule: long non-coding RNA, 944 nt
Filed under: Moschus moschiferus (Siberian musk deer)
Lineage: Eukaryota; Metazoa; Chordata; Mammalia; Artiodactyla; Moschidae
Description: lncRNA (ENSMMSG00000019787.1)
Source: RNAcentral